Molecule: ribosomal RNA, 2525 nt
Filed under: Listeria monocytogenes
Lineage: Bacteria; Bacillati; Bacillota; Bacilli; Caryophanales; Listeriaceae
Description: partial 23S ribosomal RNA
Rfam family: Bacterial large subunit ribosomal RNA
Source: RNAcentral
GAUCCUGAGUACGGCGGAACACGUGAAAUUCCGUCGGAAUCCGGGAGGACCAUCUCCCAAGGCUAAAUACUCCCUAGUGACCGAUAGUGAACCAGUACCGUGAGGGAAAGGUGAAAAGCACCCCGGAAGGGGAGUGAAACAGUUCCUGAAACCGUGUGCCUACAAGUAGUUAGAGCCCGUUAAUGGGUGAUAGCGUGCCUUUUGUAGAAUGAACCGGCGAGUUACGAUUUGUUGCAAGGUUAAGCGGAAAAAGCGGAGCCGUAGCGAAAGCGAGUCUGAAUAGGGCGCAUAAGUAACAGGUCGUAGACCCGAAACCAGGUGAUCUACCCAUGUCCAGGAUGAAGGUAAGGUAAUACUUACUGGAGGUCCGAACCCACGCACGUUGAAAAGUGCGGGGAUGAGGUGUGGGUAGCGGAGAAAUUCCAAUCGAACUUGGAGAUAGCUGGUUCUCUCCGAAAUAGCUUUAGGGCUAGCCUCGAGGUAAAGAGUCAUGGAGGUAGAGCACUGUUUGGACUAGGGGCCCUUCUCGGGUUACCGAAUUCAGAUAAACUCCGAAUGCCAUGUACUUAUACUCGGGAGUCAGACUGCGAGUGAUAAGAUCCGUAGUCGAAAGGGAAACAGCCCAGACCACCAGUUAAGGUCCCCAAAUAUAUGUUAAGUGGAAAAGGAUGUGGGGUUGCUUAGACAACCAGGAUGUUGGCUUAGAAGCAGCCACCAUUGAAAGAGUGCGUAAUAGCUCACUGGUCGAGUGACCCCGCGCCGAAAAUGUACCGGGGCUAAACAUAUUACCGAAACUGUGGAUGAACCUCUUUAGAGGUUCGUGGUAGGAGAGCGUUCUAAGGGCGGUGAAGUCAGACCGGAAGGACUGGUGGAGCGCUUAGAAGUGAGAAUGCCGGUAUGAGUAGCGAAAGAAGGGUGAGAAUCCCUUCCACCGAAUAUCUAAGGUUUCCUGAGGAAGGCUCGUCCGCUCAGGGUUAGUCGGGACCUAAGCCGAGGCCGAUAGGCGUAGGCGAUGGACAACAGGUAGAGAUUCCUGUACCAGUGCUAAUUGUUUAACCGAUGGGGUGACACAGAAGGAUAGGGAAUCGCACGAAUGGAAAUGUGCGUCCAAGCAGUGAGUGUGAGAAGUAGGCAAAUCCGCUUCUCGCGAAGCAUGAGCUGUGAUGGGGAAGGAAAUUAAGUACGGAAGUUCCUGAUUUCACGCUGUCAAGAAAAGCCUCUAGGAAGAGUAGUACUGCCCGUACCGCAAACCGACACAGGUAGAUGAGGAGAGAAUCCUAAGGUGAGCGAGAGAACUCUCGUUAAGGAACUCGGCAAAAUGACCCCGUAACUUCGGGAGAAGGGGUGCUCUAUUAGGGUGCAAGCCCGAGAGAGCCGCAGUGAAUAGGCCCAGGCGACUGUUUAGCAAAAACACAGGUCUCUGCAAAACCGUAAGGUGACGUAUAGGGGCUGACGCCUGCCCGGUGCUGGAAGGUUAAGAGGAGUGCUUAGCUUCGGCGAAGGUACGAAUUGAAGCCCCAGUAAACGGCGGCCGUAACUAUAACGGUCCUAAGGUAGCGAAAUUCCUUGUCGGGUAAGUUCCGACCCGCACGAAAGGCGCAACGAUCUGGGCACUGUCUCAACGAGAGACUCGGUGAAAUUAUAGUACCUGUGAAGAUGCAGGUUACCCGCGACAGGACGGAAAGACCCCGUGGAGCUUUACUGCAACCUGAUAUGGAAUGUUUGUACCGCUUGUACAGGAUAGGUAGGAGCCGAAGAGACGUGUGCGCUAGCAUACGAGGAGGCAAUGGUGGGAUACUACCCUGGCUGUAUGACCAUUCUAACCCGCCACGCUUAGCGCGUGGGGAGACAGUGUCAGGUGGGCAGUUUGACUGGGGCGGUCGCCUCCUAAAGAGUAACGGAGGCGCCCAAAGGUUCCCUCAGAAUGGAUGGAAAUCAUUCGCAGAGUGUAAAGGCACAAGGGAGCUUGACUGCGAGACUGACAAGUCGAGCAGGGACGAAAGUCGGGCUUAGUGAUCCGGUGGUUCCGCAUGGAAGGGCCAUCGCUCAACGGAUAAAAGCUACCCCGGGGAUAACAGGCUUAUCUCCCCCAAGAGUCCACAUCGACGGGGAGGUUUGGCACCUCGAUGUCGGCUCGUCGCAUCCUGGGGCUGUAGUCGGUCCCAAGGGUUGGGCUGUUCGCCCAUUAAAGCGGCACGCGAGCUGGGUUCAGAACGUCGUGAGACAGUUCGGUCCCUAUCCGUCGCGGGCGCAGGAAAUUUGAGAGGAGCUGUCCUUAGUACGAGAGGACCGGGAUGGACACACCGCUGGUGUACCAGUUGUUCCGCCAGGAGCAUCGCUGGGUAGCUAUGUGUGGCAGGGAUAAACGCUGAAAGCAUCUAAGCGUGAAGCCCCCCUCAAGAUGAGAUUUCCCAUUUCUUCGGAAAGUAAGAUCCCUGAAAGAUGAUCAGGUAGAUAGGUUUGGAGUGGAAGUGUAGCGAUACAUGGAGCGGACAAAUACUAAUCGAUCGAGGACUUAACCAAAA